GCAGUCCCCUCCGUACAAGAUUUGAAAGGACGUCCGGGCAGCGCUGAACCGGUCCGCAGAACGCAACAAGCAGCUCGCGGACCGUCAUCGCUCCCCGACGCCCGAAUACAAGCACCUGUCUCCAAUCAGGCUCAUCACCACCGGUAUUUAAGCCUACCUGUUCCAGGAAAUCCUCGCCAAAGUAUUGCAGCCUCUCCUAGCGUGUUCCCCCAUGUUCCUGACCCACGUCAUUCCUGCUACGAAGCCAGCCGCCUGUUCUAACCCUAACCAACAUAACCACAUUAUCCGCAAAAAGCGGAGAUGCAAUACUGUGGUCACCAAACCAG
Phyllopteryx taeniolatus (common seadragon) is the source of this 326-nucleotide long non-coding RNA. RefSeq lists it as uncharacterized. Lineage: Eukaryota; Metazoa; Chordata; Actinopteri; Syngnathiformes; Syngnathidae. The record is from RefSeq and is a predicted model, not a curated record. The transcript is spliced from 3 exons.